UUACAUUACUUACAUUCACUUUUAGUUUAAAAUUGCUAUCUACAUUGAACUCUAAAAUUUAGUUUAGAUAACUCUCAAUUAGAGACCAUUGGAAGUGUUUUGUGAAGUCCUACACAAGUCCUUGUGGAUAGACCUCAGUCUUACCGUGAUUAUUACUACAUCGCGGCCUUGCACUUGAGGCGAGUGAACAUUUGUGGAAGCCUUUGAUUCAUCGGAUACGGUGAAUGCUUCGAGUUCUCCAUGAGUUGAAACAGUUGGAUUUCUAUUAGAACCAAUUGUUGAAGAGUUCAUGUAUCUUGUGUGUGUAGAUAUGAGAUAGGUGUUUUUGCUUGUUGAUCUUAAUUUAAUUAGAAUUCAAAUCAUUGGUUCUAGUCAAGUCUAGUGACAGGAUUUGAUGAAAGCUAUGGUUAUGAUCUCAACUAGAUUGUAUAGAGGAUUGGCCUAUACGAUUGAGUGUGCCCAAUGCCUAAGCAUUAUUGAGGGAACCAAAUUAAUGAACAACCAUCAAUUUUAGACUAUUGUUGUGCUUUAACUGCUAUAUCUCUUGGCUGGAUAGAGACAAGACUUCGAUUCCAGUCGUGCAUUGAAUCGAAUAAUUGAAUUAAGCAUGGCUAAGUGGAUCCUUAAUGCUCUAGCGUUUGCUUUAGAUUAUUUUUCUUCUAACUUAGAAUAAUCUUAUUUUAAAACCAAAUCCAUAUUGGUUUAGUUUUAGAAAUUAGGUAACCUUAGAGUGUUUGGAUCUAGUUUUCCAUAUUCCUUCCUUAUGGAUCAACCUCGGUCUCAUCGACUUUUUACUACUUCACAACCUUACACUUGGGGCAAGAGAACACCACAAUUCCAUACCAUUUGAGGCUCUAAUCCUAGGAGAUUCAAGUCAUAUCCCUUGUGAUUCAUCAUAAGAAAGAUCAGCUAUCCUGAAGGAAACUUCAGAGAGAACCAGCUAUCCUGAGGGAAACUUCAGAGGGAAACUUCUGAAGCGCGCAACCCACACCUGGCCAUCAAGGAGAUUGACAUGCCCCGAUGAGUAGGAGGAUGCGGCGGUAGCUGUGAAACCUUUGACGCGAGCCAGGGCGGAGUGGCCAUUGGUGCGGAUCUUGGUGGUAGUAACAAAUAUUCAAAUGAGAACUUUGAAGGCCGAAGAGGGGAAAUGUUCCAUGUGAAUGACACUUACACAUGGGUUAGUCGAUCCUAAGAGAUGAGGGAAGCCUGUCAGGGAGUGUGCACCAUGCGAACUUCGAAAGGGAAUCGAGUUAAAAUUCUUGAACCGGGAUGUGGCGGCUGACGGCAACGUUAGGAAGGCCGUAGACGUCGGCGUGGGCCUUGGGAAGAGUUAUCUUUUCUGUUUAACAGCCAACCCACCCUGAAAAUGGCUCAGCCGGAGGUAGGGUCUAGCAGCUGGAAGAGCACCGCACGUCGUGUGGUGUCCCAUGCGCCCGCAACGGCCCUUAAAAAUUCGAAGGACCGAGUGCCUCUCACACCCGAUCGUACUCAUAACCGCAUCAAAUCUUCAAGGUGAACAGCCUUUGGUCGAUGGAAGAAUGUAGGCAACGAACGUCGGUAAAAUUAACCUCGGGAACAGGAUUGGCUCUAAGGGUUGGGCACAGGGGUCCCAGUCCCGAACCCGUCGGUUGUCGGUGGACUACUCGAGCUGCUCCCACGGCGAGAGUGGGUUGCCGCGUGCCAGCCGGGGGACGGACUAGGAACGACCCCCUCAGGAGCCUUCCCCGGACAUCAAAUAGUCGACUCAGAACUGGUUCGGACAAGGGGAAUCUGACUGCUUAAUUAAAAUAAAGCAUUGCGAUGGUCCCUGCGGAUGCUCACGCAAUGUGAUUUCUGCCCAGUGCUCUGAAUGUCAAAGUGAAGAAAUUCAACCAAGUGCGGGUAAACGACAGGAGUAACUGUCUCUCUUAAGGUAGCCAAAUGCCUCAUCAUCUAAUUAGUGAUGUGCAUGAAUGGAUUAACGAGAUUCCUACUAUCCCUGUCUAUUAUCCAGGGAAACCAUAGCUAAGGGAACGCGCUUAGCAAAAUCAACGGGGAAAGAAGACCCUGUUGAGCUUGACUCUAGUCCGACUUUGUGAAAUGACUUGAGAGGUGUAGGAUAAGUGGGAGCCAUCUCGGCGGUGCAAGUGAAAUACCACUACUUUUAACGUUAUUUUACUUAUUCUGUGAGUUGAAGGUGGGGCAUUGCCUCCCUUUUAGUACCAAGGCCGGCUUCAGCCGGCCGAUCCGGGCGGAAGACAUUGUCAGGUGGGGUGUCAGGUGGGGAGUUUGGCUGGGGCGGCACAUCUAUUAGAAGAUAACGCAGGUGUCCUGAGAUGAGCUCAACAAGAACAGAAAUCUCGUGUGGAACAAAAGGGUAAAAGCUCGUUUGAUUCUGAUUUCCAAUACGAAUACGAACCGUGAAAGCGUGGCCUAUCGAUCCUUUAGACCUUCAGAAUUUGAAGCUAGAGGUGUCAGAAAAGUUACCAUAGGGAUAACUGACUUGUGGCAACCAAGCGUUCAUAGCGACGUUGCUUUUUUAUCCUUCGAUGUCGGCUCUUCCUAUCAUUGUGAAGCAGAAUUCACCAAGUGUUGGAUUGUUCACCCACCAAUAGAGAACGUGAGAUGGGUUUAGACUAUCGUGAGACAGGUUAGUUUUACCCUACUGAUGACGUGCCGCGAUAGUAAUUCAACAUAGUACGAAAGGAACCGUUGAUUCACACAAUUGGUUAUUGCACUUGGUUGAAGAGCCAGUGACGCGAAGCUACCAUGUGCCGAAUUAUGACUGAACGCCUCUAAGUCAGAAUCCAAGCUAAACAUGCGGCGCAUACGUCCGCCGCCCGUUUGCCAACCCGCAGUAGGGGCCGCAAGGCCCCCAUGGGCCUGUGUCGUUGUUGAAAGCCCCUGCGGCGGAUGAGCCACGUGGAGCCGCUUUGAAGCGAAAUUCCUGUCGGAUGGCGGGCCGAAUCCUUUGCAGAAGACUUAAAUACGCGAUGGGGUAAUGUAAGUGUCAUGUCAAAGAUGCACGCACGCGCGCCCCUGAUGCAAGCGUAGGC
RNAcentral lists this ribosomal RNA (3035 nucleotides) under Liriodendron chinense. Its description in RNAcentral is "eukaryotic LSU rRNA". The stretch from base 482 to 3035 matches the Rfam family "Eukaryotic large subunit ribosomal RNA". Lineage: Eukaryota; Viridiplantae; Streptophyta; Magnoliopsida; Magnoliales; Magnoliaceae. The record is from RNAcentral.